GAUUUGCACAUGCCACAUUUGUUGUGCAGAUUGUGUCUGACACAGUGGAGACCUGACAGAAGUGACCUUAUAAAGAGUGGCUAUUGGCCAGGAACUGUAAAUGCUGAGACAUUGUUUUCAGUUGGUGUCUUCAGCACAUUUGAAGAAAUGAAAACUGUUGCUCCCAGUUUGUCCAGGCAAGCUUUUUUGCAGAUGUUGGAGAGGAGAACUACUCAUUGGAAGGGCUGGGAAAAUACAUGGAGACGUAUUCCAGAGAAGCUUCCUGGAGUAUACAUUCUGCCAGUUCCAGUGUGACAAUAUGGCCUGUGUUGAACAGUUCACCUGCCCUGCAUGUACACCAAACAUGCUGGCUCUCUGUGCAGAUGGCAACCGACAGUCAAAGGGUCAGAGGAGCCGUAUUUUGAUGGCACUUUCAUUUCAAAGGACAGUGACGUACAACAUUUUGUUGAGGACGUCCAGAGCAAAGUUAAAAGUACUGCUGGCAGAGGAAUCUGUGGAGCCAGUUAGUUGUCUGCUGCACGAGAGACUCCCCGAAGAGCAAGCAAUCUGGACGAAGAGGGCCUUGAAGUCGCCGUUUGAAGACAUGGAGUGCUGCUCAAGGCUCUCAAUAUGUACAGGGGGGAAAUAUUUGCCUAUCCCCUUUUCUUGCAGAAGGAGCUCCAGGCAGCCACAGAUAUUGCGUGCAAAUACUGGCCCUACCUGGAGAAGUUGGCAGUGUCCAUGAUAGACCUCAGACCUUUGCUACAGAUGAGUCCAUUCCUUUCUGUGAUGCAUGCUAGGGCCCAUUCCACCAAGUGUGAGAUCAAAUGGAGUGGCAGGAAUCAGGAGGGUGCUGGAACAACUGCAGGGGAGGAGGUGGAAAUGGUGAACAUCUAUCUUUCUCCAUGUGCUCUCACGACCAAGUACAUGACAAAAUCUGCCCGGAAUGACAUGCUUACGAUCCACACCAUUGGUUGGAACCGACGGAAGCAGGAUGGCCUUCAUCUUACAUUAUCCAGCAGAUAUCUCAAGGUCUCUGGUCUGGAGUGCUGAAUAUCUGACCUGUGG
Molecule: long non-coding RNA, 1047 nt
Organism: Mugil cephalus (flathead mullet)
Lineage: Eukaryota; Metazoa; Chordata; Actinopteri; Mugiliformes; Mugilidae
Exons: 7
Source: RefSeq, a predicted model, not a curated record